GCCGGCAGCUAGCUCUCUGCAACUCUCACAUGGUCGCCCACUGAGGCUAAGCAGGGCUGCGCCCGGUCAGUACCUGGAUGGGAGACCACAUGGGAAAGCUAGGUUGCUGCCGGAA
This is a non-coding RNA of Danio rerio (zebrafish), 115 nucleotides long. NCBI's taxonomy places the organism in Eukaryota, Metazoa, Chordata, Actinopteri, Cypriniformes, Danionidae. The record is from Rfam.